Molecule: ribosomal RNA, 299 nt
Filed under: Babesia gibsoni
Lineage: Eukaryota; Apicomplexa; Aconoidasida; Piroplasmida; Babesiidae
Description: partial small subunit ribosomal RNA
Rfam family: Eukaryotic small subunit ribosomal RNA
Source: RNAcentral
UUGUCUUGUAAUUGGAAUGAUGGUGACGUAAAAUCUCACCAGAGUAACAAUUGGAGGGCAAGUCUGGUGCCAGCAGCCGCGGUAAUUCCAGCUCCAAUAGCGUAUAUUAAACUUGUUGCAGUUAAAAAGCUCGUAGUUGAAUUUCUGCGUUGCCCGACUCGGCUACUUGCCUUGUCUGGUUUCGCUUUUGGGGUUUUCCCCUUUUUACUUUGAGAAAAUUAGAGUGUUUCAAGCAGACUUGUGUCUUGAAUACUUCAGCAUGGAAUAAUAAAGUAGGACUUUGGUUCUAUUUUGUUGGU